AAUAAACCUAGUUUCCGUGUCCAUCGUUUAACCGUCCUGUCUUAUUUGAAAAAUUUGUGAAAAAAUUUAAAAAGAUAAGUCACGCAUAAAGUAUUAAUUAUGUUUUAUCAUCUAACAGCAAUGAAAAUACUAAUUAUAAAAAAAUUUCAUAUAAGACGGAUAGUCAAACGUUGGCCACAAAAACAUAGGGUUUGUCUUUUU
Oryza rufipogon (brownbeard rice) is the source of this 201-nucleotide microRNA precursor. It matches the Rfam family "MIR812 microRNA precursor family". The record is from Rfam. NCBI's taxonomy places the organism in Eukaryota, Viridiplantae, Streptophyta, Magnoliopsida, Poales, Poaceae.